This 316-nucleotide unclassified non-coding RNA is filed under the name plant metagenome. Its description in RNAcentral is "partial contains 5.8S ribosomal RNA, internal transcribed spacer 2, and large subunit ribosomal RNA". The stretch from base 1 to 105 matches the Rfam family "5.8S ribosomal RNA", at positions 50 to 154 of the family's 154-position model. The record is from RNAcentral.
GAAAUGCGAUAAGUAAUGUGAAUUGCAGAAUUCCGUGAAUCAUCGAAUCUUUGAACGCACAUUGCGCCCUCUGGCAUUCCGGGGGGCAUGCCUGUCCGAGCGUCAUUACGCACCCUCAAGCCCCCGGGUUUGGUGUUGGGGAUCGGGCUGCGGUUCUACCGCGUCCCGGCCCCGAAAUCUAGUGGCGGUCUCGCUGCAGCCUCCAUUGCGUAGUAGCUAACACCUCGCAACUGGAACGCGGCGCGGCCAAGCCGUUAAACCCCCAACUUCUGAAUGUUGACCUCGGAUCAGGUAGGAAUACCCGCUGAACUUAAGC